Long non-coding RNA from Helianthus annuus (common sunflower), 2349 nucleotides. RefSeq lists it as uncharacterized. NCBI's taxonomy places the organism in Eukaryota, Viridiplantae, Streptophyta, Magnoliopsida, Asterales, Asteraceae. The record is from RefSeq and is a predicted model, not a curated record. The transcript is spliced from 10 exons.
CCUUCAUUCAGCCUACUGUUUCUCUGAUAUGUGCUGCCCUAAAUUUCCAACUAUCUCCUACCCUAAAUCUUAUUUCGAUGAAUUUGUGGAUGAAUCUGGUUUCUCCAAUCAAGUUCGUCGCCGAUUCGCCAAUCACGACCGCGCAAGAUUCUCCGGCACAACUUUCUUCCAUCUUAAAUCUAAUCAACGUAAGAUUUUCGUUUCGACUGAUAUCGCUAAUUGAUUCUUAGGCUUUUGCAUCUUCUUUGUCGCACCAUCUGGCUAUCUCUCUAUGGCAAUUCAAGAAUAUGAAGGCCAUUCAAGGAGAUUAGUGAAAAUUUUACCAGAUCAAUGAAGAAUCUAACAUCUACGGUUUCGAUUUACAGAUAAUCAGAAAGAUCUAUGCACAAUAUUGAAGGUGUUGCUAGUGGUGGAGUUGAUAAGGGUGGUCAUUUAUGCAGCGUUUGAAGUGAGAUGAUGGUUUAAAUUCAUUUUGCAAAUCUUGGUUGAAGAUAAGCCCUUCGCAGUGGCUAAAUGGCGGACACAUUAUAACAAAUUUUCAUCUGGAUCGUAUCUGAAGAAGACGAAACAAGAGACACGACUUGUAGUUAGAAGAGAAGGUGAGAGAAUCACGAAUUAAAACCAUGGAUCUGAUGAAAAUUUCAAAUCAAUUUACCUUGUACAGAUGAUCAUUUUGCUACAAUGGCUAGGCAAACUAUCUAUAUUUUUAUAUGUGGGUGGAUAAUUGCAUGCUAAGGUGAAAAAAAUGACAGGGUAGGUUGUUUCAGAAGCCAAAGUGGAGCAUUUCUGGUUUCUAUGUGUAUGAUGAUAAACACAAAGCGAGUCCGGAUACUCAAAUAAAGAAGUACAUCAAUAAAGCAAGGUAAAUUCCUAGCAUCUCAGUUGAUCCUAAUAGGGAUGAGCAUGUUACCCGUUCGAUACCGAAAAGCAGGGAAAAUUGGUACCGGCAUCGGUACCAUUUAUCGGGGAAAAUGGGUACUGGUACCACAUAUACCCGGUACGGUUCGGUACCGGUACCCGGUACAAAAUGCUCAUCCCUACAUGCUAAGGUAGUGCCUCAUGUAUUGAGCUCUUUGUGUUCCUUUGAACUAGACGGUUGCCAGCAGGGUCCUUGAUUUGAAAAAAAGUAGUAACAAUGACCUGGUAUGUUGGUUCCUCUUUACCUUUCUUCGACAUAGGAUAUUAUAAUUAACCAUUUUGUAUAUAACAUAAAUAACCCUUAUAUAUGUUUACGUCACUGAAAACCAAAAACCUGGUUCUUAGUGAAGAAAUUAUUUCUACUUGCGUGUUGAAGUAAGUGUGUGCUGCAGCAAGUUACAAACAACUGUAUUUGGUUGUGAAGGAACAUAUCGGCUUUUGUUCAGGUUAUAAAACAAUGAUAAACCUUUUUCUAUUACAAUUAGAUAGAUUUCAUGGUUGUGCAAUCAUUUAAAGAAAAAUAAUAAUCUGAAGAAAUUGGAUUUUAUGUAUUUUUUAUUUCAUUUUAUUUUAUUUUUGUGUUUGAAAUUGUGAGGUUGGAAUCUUGGCAAGUGCUACAAAAUGGGAAUUGCAAAAGGAGUUCCAACUUCUGAAAUAAACAGAGUUGUUUAACCCAUUUACUCAACAAUGGUAAACGGGUAUAUGUCGGCGGAAGUGGCGAAUGCGAUUGAGAAGAAUAAGAAGAAGCUUGUGGAAGAAGCGGGUGGCGGAUUGAAGGACGGGAGGAUGCUGCUGCUGCUGUUCCGACCGCGUAAAUUUUUAUACAUGUGUUCGGCCACAUGGAGCAGCACUUUAUAGCUUAUUGAUACAGCUGGUGCUUUCUGUGGUUAGUUAUGGUGUAAAAAGCAACAUGCGUCAAAAAAAGAUAAUAGUCGCGACAACACACGGGCAUCAUCACUGCGUUGCUGUGGGGAUGUGGACCACAUAAAUACUACCAUGAAGAUACUGUGCCUCAUCCAAUAAUAAUUGACAUUCAAUUGGCAACUUCAAUGGAAUUAUCAAUCAUGCAAUGAUGAUGGAGAUUUGAAGCUGAUCAUUAUUCCCAACGGCCGAUUUUUUAGUGUGGGACUAAAUUGAACUCUUGACGUGUGGAGGCAACAAAAGUCAAGGUGAAUAAAUUAUGGACAAUCGAGGACUGAAUUCUAUUUUGGCUACAGAGAUUAAGUGGUUGAAUUCUAUCAACUUACUGGUACUUAUUAUAUUUUGGCUACAGAGAUUAAGUGGGUGAAUUCUAUCAUGGCAAACUUAGUGGUACUUAUUAAUAUCUGAAGUUUGUUUUCUUUAAUUCAAGUUUUUAAGUUGUUGAUGGAUAAUCUGUUCACAUUGCAUUUCAUUUGUUUAUGAACCAUAUAUGAGUCAUAUUUAGAAAUU